GAGGGUAUAGCUCAAGUGGUAGAGCACAUGCUUAGAAUGCAUGAGGUUCUGGGUUCAAUCCCCAGGACCUCCU
Camelus ferus (Wild Bactrian camel) is the source of this 73-nucleotide transfer RNA. It matches the Rfam family "tRNA". From Rfam's summary of the family: Transfer RNA (tRNA) molecules are approximately 80 nucleotides in length. Their secondary structure includes four short double-helical elements and three loops (D, anti-codon, and T loops). The record is from Rfam. NCBI's taxonomy places the organism in Eukaryota, Metazoa, Chordata, Mammalia, Artiodactyla, Camelidae.